RNAcentral lists this ribosomal RNA (569 nucleotides) under uncultured bacterium. RNAcentral's name for it is "bacterial SSU rRNA". It matches the Rfam family "Bacterial small subunit ribosomal RNA", at positions 278 to 847 of the family's 1533-position model. The record is from RNAcentral.
GAUGGAUAGGGGUUCUGAGAGGAAGGUCCCCCACAUUGGAACUGAGACACGGUCCAAACUCCUACGGGAGGCAGCAGUGAGGAAUAUUGGUCAAUGGACGAGAGUCUGAACCAGCCAAGUAGCGUGAAGGAUGACUGCCCUAUGGGUUGUAAACUUCUUUUAUAUGGGAAUAAAACGUUCCACGUGUGGGAUUUUGUAUGUACCAUAUGAAUAAGGAUCGGCUAACUCCGUGCCAGCAGCCGCGGUAAUACGGAGGAUCCGAGCGUUAUCCGGAUUUAUUGGGUUUAAAGGGAGCGUAGGUGGAUUGUUAAGUCAGUUGUGAAAGUUUGCGGCUCAACCGUAAAAUUGCAGUUGAAACUGGCAGUCUUGAGUACAGUAGAGGUGGGCGGAAUUCGUGGUGUAGCGGUGAAAUGCUUAGAUAUCACGAAGAACUCCGAUUGCGAAGGCAGUUCACUGGACUGCAACUGACACUGAGGCUCGAAAGUGUGGGUAUCAAACAGGAUUAGAUACCCUGGUAGUCCACACAGUAAACGAUGAAUACUCGCUGUUUGCGAUAUACAGCAAGCGGC